This 251-nucleotide ribosomal RNA is filed under the name uncultured bacterium. Its description in RNAcentral is "partial 16S ribosomal RNA". It matches the Rfam family "Bacterial small subunit ribosomal RNA", at positions 1249 to 1500 of the family's 1533-position model. The record is from RNAcentral.
GCAAAGUCGUGAGGCGGAGCAAAACACAAAACACAGUCUCAGUCCAGAUUGUAGGCUGAAACUCGCCUAUAUGAAGUCGGAAUUGCUAGUAAUCGCGGAUCAGCAUGCCGCGGUGAAUACGUUCCCGGGCCUUGUACACACCGCCCGUCACACCAUGAGAGUCGAUAACACCCGAAGCCUGUAGUCUAACAGCAAUGGGGACGCAGUCGAAGGUGGGAUUGAUAAUUAGGGUGAAGUCGUAACAAGGUACC